UAAAAUUAUGUGAAGAGAAAGAGUACGUUAUAAGUCCUGUUCCAAAGAGAGCUGGUGAUUUGCUGAAAGCUAGUGUUCAGGUUAUAACGGAAAAUCCUCUCUGAGAAGUAAAGCUGAAUGAUUAGUAAGCUUUAUCGAAUUCCACCGUUAGAGGGCCAGCGUAUGAUUGUACGUUGGUCAAGAGUAAUGAUAGGCUUAUUUAUUGCUUAGCAGUAGGUGAGUUAUUCAUUAAACAAGAGUGGUACCGCGAGUUCAAAUCUUGUCUCUUAA
Molecule: non-coding RNA, 270 nt
Filed under: Bacillus sp. (in: firmicutes)
Lineage: Bacteria; Bacillati; Bacillota; Bacilli; Caryophanales; Bacillaceae
Description: Bacillus sp. T-box sequence
Rfam family: T-box leader
About the family: Uncharged tRNA acts as the effector for transcription antitermination of genes in the T-box leader family. T-boxes are found upstream of many aminoacyl-tRNA synthetase genes and some amino acid biosynthetic genes usually in Gram-positive bacteria.
Source: RNAcentral